Molecule: non-coding RNA, 121 nt
Filed under: uncultured Flavonifractor sp.
Lineage: Bacteria; Bacillati; Bacillota; Clostridia; Eubacteriales; Oscillospiraceae
Description: Moco (molybdenum cofactor) riboswitch
Rfam family: Molybdenum/Tungsten riboswitch aptamer (Moco RNA motif)
Source: RNAcentral
CUGCUCCGAGCGGAACCGUCUAAGGGCUACGGCCUAUGACGCUCCGCCGCCGGGUCCCGCGCGGGCUCCGGUCUGGGUCGUAUCGGAAACGGUGCGGCCUUCCGUCUUUGAAAAGGGGCUG